ACGAAGGGUGCAAGCGUUAAUCGGAAUUACUGGGCGUAAAGGGUGCGUAGGCGGCCUUUUAAGUCGGAUGUGAAAUCCCCGGGCUCAACCUGGGAAUGGCAUCCGAUACUGGGAGGCUAGAGUUUGGGAGAGGGUGGUGGAAUUCCCGGUGUAGCGGUGAAAUGCGUAGAGAUCGGGAGGAACAUCAGUGGCGAAGGCGGCCACCUGGCCUAAAACUGACGCUGAAGCACGAAAGCGUGGGGAGCAAACAGGAUUAGAUACCCUGGUAGUCCACGCCCUAAACGAUGAGAACUGGACGUUGGGAGGAAUUCGCCUCUUAGUGUCGAAGCUAACGCGUGAAGUUCUCCGCCUGGGGAGUACGCUCGCAAGAGUG
Molecule: ribosomal RNA, 373 nt
Filed under: uncultured bacterium
Lineage: Bacteria
Description: bacterial SSU rRNA
Rfam family: Bacterial small subunit ribosomal RNA
Source: RNAcentral